UACGUAGGUGGCAAGCGUUAUCCGGAUUUAUUGGGCGUAAAGGGAACGCAGGCGGUCUUUUAAGUCUGAUGUGAAAGCCUUCGGCUUAACCGGAGUAGUGCAUUGGAAACUGGGAGACUUGAGUGCAGAAGAGGAGAGUGGAACUCCAUGUGUAGCGGUGAGAUGCGUAGAUAUAUGGAAGAACACCAGUGGCGAAAGCGGCUCUCUGGUCUGUAACUGACGCUGAGGUUCGAAAGCGUGGGUAGCAAACAGG
Molecule: ribosomal RNA, 253 nt
Filed under: uncultured bacterium
Lineage: Bacteria
Description: partial 16S ribosomal RNA
Rfam family: Bacterial small subunit ribosomal RNA
Source: RNAcentral